AUUAGGAUUUGAUUAGGAUUUAAGGUUAGGAUUUGGUUAGGAUUUGGUUUAGGGUUUAGGAUUUGAUUAGGAUUAGGAUUUGGUUAGGAUUUAGUUUAGGAUGUAGGAUUUGGUUAGGAUUAGGGUUUGGUUAGGAUUUAGAGUUAGGAUUUGAUUAGGAUUUGAUUAAGAUUUGUUUAAGAUUUGAUUAGGGUUUGUUUAGGGUUUGGAAUUGAUUAGGAUUUGUUAGGGUUAAGAUUUGUCUAAGAUUUGAUUAGGAUAUGUUUAGGAUUUAGGAUUUGUCUAGGAUUUUAUUAAAGUUGGAUUAGGAUUAGAGUUUGGUUAGAAUUUAAGGUUUAUUUAGAUUUUUGUUAGGGUUUGACUAAGUUUUUUUUAAUAUUCUUUUAUAUUUUUUUAAGAUUUCCUUUUGUUUCUUUUAUAACUUCAAUAAAAUUUAAUUGAGCUUGCUUAAUAUUUGAUUAUGAUUGUUAAUAUUGAAUUAUAAUUUCUCUAUAAUCCUAUUGGAAUGUUAGGAUCUUUUGUUGUAAUUUUCUUUUACCUUCCACAACUAGGUGUCCGGUGCAUUCUCAAGCAAGACUUCACGUAAUACGACACCAUUCCAAGUCAGAUUUUGAUAACUGCCUUCAACUAGAAUCAUCGUAGCUCCCACAAUUAAAAAUUGAUUAUAAUGGCAUUCCUUUCAAACCUUGGCUCUAUUAAGGGAUGCGGACACCGUAACGAGUUGAGCUUCCUUCACAAAUAUUUUUAACUCUAGUGGUUGCAAACCAUUGAUUAAUAUGGAUAAGAUGAAUACCUCCAACAUUUGGUG
RNAcentral lists this long non-coding RNA (808 nucleotides) under Physcomitrium patens. Its description in RNAcentral is "long non-coding RNA (PPAT_LNC007042)". Lineage: Eukaryota; Viridiplantae; Streptophyta; Bryopsida; Funariales; Funariaceae. The record is from RNAcentral.